UAAGAAGUAAAUUUUAAAUUGGGAUUAUUAAUAGUUAUAUUCUUUAAAAUUAAAGAUUUUGGCGGUAUUUUAGUCUUUUCAGAGGAACCUGUUCUAUAAUUGAUAAUCCACGAUUAAUUAAACUUAUAUUAUUAAUUUGUAUAACGUCGUGAAAGAAUAUUUUAAAAGAGUUAAUAUUCAAUAUUUAUUAUUAUAAGAAAAAUCAGAUCAUGUUGCAGUUUAUAUAUAAGAAGAAAUGGGUUACAAUAUUAAUAAAUAUACAGAUUAAUUUAUUUAAAAUUAUUAUGAAGGUGGAUUUGAAAGUAAUUAUUUAUAUAUAUUUAUAAUGAUUUAAGCUCUAAAAUAUGU
This 348-nucleotide ribosomal RNA is filed under the name Indalmus oblongulus. RNAcentral's name for it is "partial 12S ribosomal RNA". RNAcentral also lists the same sequence under 1 other name. The record is from RNAcentral. Lineage: Eukaryota; Metazoa; Arthropoda; Insecta; Coleoptera; Endomychidae.